UUAAAAUUAUGGUAAGUAUUUUUAACCAGCUCAUCAACAGGGACAAUAAUUUGACGAGCUCGGUGAUGCAGUGGUAAAGUGCUUGCCUCUGAAUCGAGAGGUCCCGGGUUCGAUCCCCGCGGUCGGUAGUCUAAAACAAUCAAUAUUAUUUUAUUAAAUAUACUAUAGUAGCUAUAGCCGCGCCCGUCCGUCUCAUUCAGGCCGAUCAUCCAGUAGGGAACCAAUGUGGAAACAGCAACUUGGAUGGUUGAAUUUGUUAUUAGCUCAGGGGGCGAGCAGAACGAAAGAUCCCGUGCCAGCAUCAUCAACCACUAAUCAAUAGUGACUUAAGAAAGGAUUGCUGAGAAGAAAUGCCUAAAGAAACUCAUUUAAGCAGUAUUGAUCUCUAUCAUGCUAGCAGCGCAAAUUCUUCAAUAAUAUCGAAAUUCUGAAAACAAUUGAUAAAUAGAAAAAAGGACAAGUUAGGAAUGUUAGGAAACUUGAUACAACACGAAGCCUUUUUUAGGUUAUAGAAGGAAAGGUGGAAGGAAGAAGAGGCCCAGAAGACCAAGAGAAUUACACCAGGCAAAUAAAGGAAAAAAUGUCGUGUCGUAUCAAGGAGCGAAGGAGUUGAACAGAGAGAGAACAAUGGAAGGAACUCCAGUGACAAGAUGAUGUAUGAAUAGUGUUGUACUCAUAUAGCCUCAUUUUGAGCUAUACAUAGUCUAUCUAUCGACAAUAAAACUAUCGACUUUUCUGCAACACUGUUCAGUAAAUAUGACCUAAAUAACAUAACAUUCACACUUUAUUAAUAUCCAUUCUGUUAAGAACUUGCGAAGGAUAUGUACAGGAUUUAAUAUACAUAUAUAUAUAUAUAUUUUUUGUAAUUUGUAAUAUAUUUUUACAGUAUAUGUUUUAAGUAUUAAUAAUACCUAAGUGACGUGUGCUAAGAAAAUGGAAAGAAGACAAGUUUUCAAAGCAGCGGUCCCGUACGAGCCUGCGACAAACAUGGUUCCGAAGUCUUCCCUUUUCGCUGUAGUCGGACAAAUGCUACAACAAGUAAACAACCAAUCAGAAUCUAAAACGCAAGGAAAAAGUAACACAAAAAAACCUGUCAACCAGUCAUAAACGCCGCACGCUUUUGUAUUAAAUUGAUCUUAGUUUAUAUGUAAACACUGUUUUUAAUAUACAUAUAUAUAUAAUAUAUAAUAUAUAUAUAUAUAUAUGACCUAUAUUUGUUAAUUGGCGUCCUUGGAGAAAAGGCUGCGGUGAAGUUUGUUGCGCCGCUUCUUCUUCACUUGCGCUUUGGAAGCCGGCAGUAGACUUAGUUUAAGUAAUUUUUUUUACGUCAAUAAGUGAUGUAUAUAUUUUUAAUCAUUUGUAAUGAAACCUUUAUCUAAAUGAAUGUUAAAAAAUUCUUUUUAUCAAUUUGUAUUGCAUUUGUUUAGGAUAACAUCUAAAUCUAAUCGCCCCGCAUCACAUAUCGCUCGUGCAUCGACAUACACAAGCUAUAUUAUUGGCAGAGAUAUUUUCUGUUUUCAAUGCUUGAUAAAAAAAUAUGUCCGUGCAGAAAACCGUCGAGGAGUCCCCUCGACGGUAGCCGUUCUUGGUUGCAAAUCAGGUCAUGCUUAUUAUAAUAAUGCAUUGCCAAUCAAACGUGUAUGCAAAAUCUGAGCUCAAUCGGUCAGCAGAAGGAAAUUGAUAAGUCCCACUGCUGGGCAAAGGCCUCCCGCCCAGCAGUGGGACUUAUCGGCUUGUAUAAAAAAAAAGUAAGCACGCCACUGAAGAUUCUACACUCCCUUUUUUGCACAGUCGAGUAAAAAAGACAUUAGUUUAACCCCAUAACCUGUAACCUCGAUCGUUCGAAGCUAUCGAAAGGGAAUUGUAAAAAUCCGAUGUAAUUUGCGUUCCAUUUCAGAUAGCAAGUGUCGACUUCCCCUUAGCUUUGGGCGAUACGACAUAUUGUGUGUGCGUUUCAUGAUUUCCCUAAGUGUUAUUAAAUUGCUUUCUUGUA
Molecule: long non-coding RNA, 1993 nt
Organism: Plodia interpunctella (Indianmeal moth)
Lineage: Eukaryota; Metazoa; Arthropoda; Insecta; Lepidoptera; Pyralidae
Exons: 2
Source: RefSeq, a predicted model, not a curated record